CGAGAACUUGGAUAGUAGGACGCCACUAAACGAGAUUUAUAACGACCCUAAUUAAGCGUUACAAUCACGGAAUUUUCCUGCACGUUGUAGAAACAACAACAUUUAAAAAUGGAAAUUUAUGAAACGCAACCCUUUUGUAUUUUUUGCUGCUACCCAAGGAUUUGGACAAUAUGAAAAAAAGGAUUACAUCUCCCCAGGCCUUGGUGAAGUCUCUCCGCAGUUGACCAGAAAAGCGUUCACAGAAAAACUUUUAUAACUUUUGCAAAAAUAAUUUAAAAAUUCUGCAAAAAAAAUCAUG
This is a long non-coding RNA of Topomyia yanbarensis, 298 nucleotides long. RefSeq lists it as uncharacterized. The transcript is spliced from 3 exons. NCBI's taxonomy places the organism in Eukaryota, Metazoa, Arthropoda, Insecta, Diptera, Culicidae. The record is from RefSeq and is a predicted model, not a curated record.